GAAGGGAGAGGACCUAGCUAAGGCUAGGUUCGAACCCACACGCGCGCGCCGCCGCCGCUGUCCGGGUCCUGUAUAUAAUUUUUUAGACAAAAUUUAUUUAAAUUUUUAAUUAAAAUUUAUUUAAAUUUUAUUUAUUUAAUUCUAUUAUCAAAACUGUGUCGUUUUGAAAGCUGUAUUUAUUAUAUUAUCAAAACUGUGUCGUUUUGAGGAAGCGGUAUCUGUAAGUUUAAACGGGCGGCCCAAAUCUACGUCGAUUUGUCGCGCCUUUUCUUAUAAGCCUAAAACUACGUAGUUUUGGUUCUGCUAACAGUUAAACUACGUCGUUUUAAUAAACUGAAUAGUUGCGCCUAUUCUAUAAAUGAUCAAAACAACGUCGUUUUGACCAAUAGAUACAAAUAAUACCUUUACAAAAGGCACCCCAUGCCUUUUCAGUGGUGAGGUGCCCAUCCAAAGGGUCACCAACCCUCCUAUAAAUAGAUAGGAGGGGGCAGCCUUCAUUUCCAUCGAAUUUUCAAGCAUUCUAGUCUUCUAAAGCAUUCUAGCAUAUAGUUCUUCAUCAGUUUCCUUAGUGUUUUUGAGAGAGUCCGAGCAUUUCUUUUGGUUCGUUGUGUAUACUUUUUGUAGUGCUGCUAAGGUAUACGAAGUCAUUGUAUCCUAGGAGACAAGUGCUAUCAACUCUGAGUACCAUACAGAGGGCAUAAUUGUCUUAAGGACAUAGUACAAAGUACUAGCCUUGACAUAUUACUUUCUACAAGAUAAGUUCAUAUAAAUAUAUAUAUAAUUUCCUUUAUAGGUUUCUAACAAUCUUAAGACAAUUAUCUUUAUAUAUAUAUUUGUAAGAAAUAUGGAUACCAAUUCUGUUACUAUAAUUGGUUCUUCUUCUAUACCAAAUGUUCCUGUGAACCAUGGUGAAAAACCAGAGAAGUUUAAUGGAACGGAAUUUAAAAGAUGACAACAAAAGAUGUUUUAUCUAACAACUUUGAACUUAGCAAGGUUUCUUCACGAAGAUCCCCCUGUGCUCAAAGAAGAUGAAACAGACCGGUAAAUUGUUGCUGCAAUAGAUGCAUGGAAACAUGCAGAUUUUUUGUGCCAAAAUUAUAUCCUUAAUGGAUUAGAUAACACAUUAUAUAAUGUGUAUAGUUCUCUCAAAACAGCAAGAGAAUUAUGGGAUUCCUUGGAUAAAAAGUAUAAAACAGAAGAUGUUGGCACGAAGAAAUUCGUAGUUGGCAGGUUUUUGGACUACAAAAUGGUGGAUUCCAAGGCAGUCAUCAACCAAGUCCAAGAAUUACAGGUAAUCCUGCAUGAAAUACAUGCAGAAGGUAUGUCUCUAAGUGAAUCUUUCCAAGUUGCUGCUAUUAUAGAAAAACUACCACCUAUGUGGAAAGAUUUUAAAAAUUAUCUCAAGCAUAAACGCAAAGAGAUGAAACUUGAAGACUUAAUCGUAAGAUUAAGGAUAGAAGAGGACAACCGUGCCUCUGAAAAGAAAACAGGAAGGGUCUUUGUAGAAUAUAAAGCAAACGUGGUGGAACAAGGUCCGAAGUCAAAAAAGAGGAAAUUCUCCGGGAAUGGGCCUCAGCAGGGAACAAAUAAAAAGUUCCAAGGCAAAUGCUACAUCUGUGACAAGCCCAGACAUAGGGCAAAGGAUUGUCGAAAACGUAAAGACCAGAACAAGAAGUCUGCACAAGCCAACGUAACGGAAGUGGAUGGUCUUCUUCAAGAUGUUUCUGAAAUGAACCUCUCAGCGGUUGUUCAGAAAUAAAUAUGGUUGAGAAUCCAAGAGAAUGGUGGGUGGAUACUGGAGCAACCCGCCACGUGUGUUCCGACAGAAAGAUGUUCUCCACAUAUCAAGAAAUUGAGAAUGGCGAACAUCUAUACAUGGGAAAUUCUUCUUCAUCAAAGAUAGCUGGACAAGGAAAGGUGAUUCUGAAGAUGACAUCUGGCAAGGAACUCACCCUCAACAACGUGCUCCAUGUGCCUGAUAUUAGGAAAAAUUUAGUGUCAGGAUCCCUUCUUAGUCAAAAGGGAUUUAAACUAGUAUUUGUAUCAGACAAGUUUGUAUUAACUAAAAAUGGGAUGUAUGUGGGGAAGGGUUAUAUGAGCAAUGAGCUCUUCAAAAUGAAUGUAAUGACUGUUGUACCUUCCAAUAUUAAUAAAAUUACAUCUUCUGCUUAUAUGAUUGAGUCAUCUAAUUUAUGGCAUGGUAGAUUAGGACAUGUUAAUUAUAAUACUAUACGUAGAUUAAUUAAUAUGGAAUGUUUGCCAAAAUGUGAGAUUAACUCUAAUCAUAAAUGUGAAAUUUGCGUUGAGGCAAAACUUGGGCAAUCUUCUUUUAAAUCAAUUGAAAGAAGUACAGAACCUUUUGAAUUAAUACAUACUGAUAUUUGUGAUUUAAAGUAUAUACAAACAAGAGGAGGUAAGAAAUACUUUAUCACUUUUAUAGAUGAUUGUACAAGAUAUUGUUAUGUUUACUUAUUGAGAAGUAAAGAUGAGGCUUUGGAAAUGUUUAAACAUUAUAAAAAUGAGGUUGAAAAUCAACUUGAUAAAAAGAUCAAGACAGUUAGAAGUGAUAGAGGUGGGGAAUAUGAAUUUCCAUUUGUUGAGAUUUGUUCACAAUAUGGUAUAAUACACCAAACAACUGCACCAUAUUCACCACAACAAAAUGGUAUUGCAGAAAGAAAGAAUAGAACUUUAAAAGAAAUGAUGAAUGCAUUGUAAUUAAGUUCUGGGCUACCUCAGAAUUUGUGAGGGGAAGCAAUUCUUUCAGCAAAUUAUAUUCUUAACCGAAUACCUCAAAAGAAGUCUAAUGUUACACCCUAUGAAUUAUGGAAAGGACGUAAGCCGUCUUAUAAACAGUUAAAAGUGUAGGGGUGUUUAGCAAAAGUAAUGGUUCCUCCACCCAAAAAGGUAAAAAUAGGACCCAAAACAAUAGAUUGUAUAUUCAUUGACUACGCUAAUAAUAGCAAUGCAUAUAGAUUUUUGGUUAAUAAAUAAAAAAUAGAGGAAAUACAUGAAAAUAUGAUUAUUGAAUCAAAAGAUGCUGAAUUCUUUGAAACAGUAUUUCCUAAUAAAAAGGAACAAGAGCCAAGUUCUAAUGAACAAGAAACAAGUUCAAAUAAAAGAACUUACGAUGCUGUUAAUGACAGUAAUCAUGAUUUAGAAAAUAUUGACGAACCUAGACGUAGUAAACGUGCUAGAACAUCAAAAUCUUUUGGUCCGGAUUUUCUAACCUAUUUAUUAGAAAAUGAGCCUCAAACCUACAAAGAAGCAAUAUCGAGUCCUGAAGCUCCAUAUUAGAAAGAGGCUAUAAAUAGUGAAGUGGAAUCCAUUUUACAUAAUCAUACGUGGGAAUUAGUAGAUCUCCCACCAGGCUCUAAACCUCUUGGAUAUAAGUGGAUAUUCAAGAAGAAAAUGAAAACAGAUGGAUCUAUAGAUAAAUAUAAAGCAAGACUUGUAAUCAAAGGAUACAGGCAAAAGGAGGGUUUGGAUUAUUUUGAUACUUAUUCUCCUGUGACAAGAAUAUCCUCAAUUAGGAUGUUAAUAGCAAUUGCAGCUAUAUAUAAUUUAGAAAUACAUCAAAUGGAUGUAAAAACAGCUUUCUUAAAUGGAGAUUUAGAAGAAAAAAUCUACAUGGAACAACCAGAAGGAUUUGUUGUUCCAGGACAAGAAAAGAAAGUUUGUCGACUUGUAAAAUCUCUUUAUGGAUUAAAACAAGCACCUAAACAAUGGCAUGAAAAAUUUGACAAUGCAAUGUUAUCAAAUGGUUUCAAAAUAAAUGAGUGUGACAAAUGUGUAUAUGUCAAGGACACUAAAAAUGGGUAUGUUAUUAUUUGUCUUUAUGUAGAUGAUAUGCUUAUUAUGGGAAGUAAUAAUGAUAUCAUUAAAACUACUAAAAGAAUGUUAAAUAAUAUGUUUGACAUGAAAGACAUGGGUGUUGCUGAUGUAAUAUUAGGAAUUAAGAUUUCUAAAACAUCGAAUGGAUUAGUGUUAUCACAAUCACACUAUGUUGAGAAAAUACUCAGGAAAUUCAAUCAAUAUGAUUGUAAUCCUGUGGGAACAUCGGUAGAUAUAAAUCUACACUUGUCUAAAUAUAAAGGAGAGAGCAUAUCACAACCUGAGUAUGCACAAAUAAUUGGAAGCCUUAUGUACUUAAUGAAUUGUACACGUCCUGACAUAGCACAAGCUGUCAAUAAAUUGAGUAGAUUUACAAGCAAUCCAGGACAAGAUCACUGGAAAGCGAUUAUAAGAGUUUUAAGGUAUUUAAAAUACACUCAAAGUUUUGGAUUGCACUACUCAAGAUAUCCAGCAGUACUUGGAGGAUACUGUGAUGCGAAUUGGAUAUCGGAUACAAAAGACUCCAAAUCCACAAGUAGUUUUGUGUUUACACUAGGAGGAGGAGCAGUAUCAUGAAAAUCUUCUAAACAAACAUGCAUUGCUCGAUCAACGAUAGAAUCUGAGUUUAUUGCAUUGGAUAAGGCUGGAGAAGAAGCUGAAUGGCUUCGUAACUUUUUAGAAGAUAUUCCUAUGUGGCCUAAACCUGUGCCGCCUAUUUGUAUCCAUUGUGAUAGUCAAUCAGCAAUUAGAAGGGCACAGAGUCAUAUGUAUAAUGGUAAGUCUAGACAUAUUCGUCGUAGACACAACACCAUAAAACAAUUGCUCUCUAACGACAUUAUGUCUAUUGAGUACAUAAAGUCAAAAGAAAAUAUAGCGGAUCCGUUGACUAAAGGUUUGACUAGAGAGCAAGUAAAAAUAACUUCGAGGGGAAUGGGGUUAAAGCCUAUAAACAAGGAUCGUCAUGAUGGAAAUCCAACCUAGUUGACUGGAGAUCCCAAGAUCUAGGUUCAAAGGGACAACUAAAUUGUGAAGGAUUCAACCAAAUCACUAUGAAGAAAUUAAUUUCUUUUGCUCAUUCCUAUGAUACGAGAUAGUGAUACCUGCAGCGGUUACAGGAUAAGCUCUGCUUUUAAUGAUUUUUAAAUCUUGAUAAACAUGUGGAUGUGUGAACUGGGCCAAUUCUAUGAGAAGGAUAAGGCUAUACUUCUCUAAAGCACUCAUAAAUCCGGGAUUGUUCGGGGCCAAAUAAUGUCUAGAAAGAUUCUGUGUGAAUUACUAUUGUCUCGAUUUACACAAACGAUUGGACAGUUCAAGACAUCAUGUUCACUGGACAACCAGUAAACCCGAUAGUUUUCACAAGGGAAGGUUCAAAGUCAAAAGCUACCUCUCUCGAUACAGAUGAUUUCUAAUUUUGUCUCUCUCUCAGAGUCUGCAUAACAUUUGCAUAAGGCUAGCAGUCAAUAUCAUUCAUGUGCGGGAUUGUUGGAAUUUGAGCCUAAAUUAAUGUGGGUAUUAUUAAUUUAUUUUAAUGAUUCCAUACAUUAAUGUGUUCUACUCCAUGAGUAGAUUAAAUUAAGUAUUUGGAAGCUCAAAUCUAUAGAGUAAUGAAUGAGAUAUUAACUCUCAAAGGUCACACUUGAAAGAUAAUAAAUACAUGUGGGAAAACCAAGUCCCACAUAGAUUAGAAUUAAAUAACUUAUAUGUUUAUAUACAAGGAAAGUGCUCUUGGGUUUGGGCCCCAAGGGGCACCCCACUUUUGUGGAAGGGAGAGGACCUAGCUAAGGCUAGGUUCGAACCCACACGCGCGCGCCGCCGCCGCCGUUCGUCCGGCCGGCCUGGCUCGGGCUCGUGGCACGAGGCACGUGGGUCGUGGGUCUGGGUCUGGGUCCUGUAUAUAAUUUUUUUGACAAAAUUUAUUUAAAUUUUUAAUUAAAAUUUAUUUAAAAUUUAUUUAUUUAAUUAUAUUUUGAGGAAGCGGUAUCUGUAAGUUUAAACGGGCGGCCCAAAAAUACGUCGUUUUGUCGCGCCUUUUCUUAUAAGCCUAAAACUACGUAGUUUUGGUUCUGCUAACAGUUAAACUACGUCGUUUUAAUAAACUGAAUAGUUGCGCCUAUUCUAUAAAUGAUCAAAACUACGUCGUUUUGACCAACAGAUACAAAUAAUACCUUUACAAAAGGCACCUCAUGCCUUUUCAGUGGUGAGGUGCCCAUCCAAAGGGUCACCAACCCUCCUAUAAAUAGAUAGGAGGGGGCAGCCUUCAUUUCCAUCGAAUUUUCAAGCAUUCUAGUCUUCUAAAGCAUUCUAGCAUAUAGUUCUUCAUCAGUUUCCUUAGUGUUUUUGAGAGAGAGUCCGAGCAUUUCUUUUGGUUCGUUGUGUAUACUUUUUGUAGUGUUGCUAAGGUAUACGAAGUCAUUGUAUCUUGGGAGACAAGUGUUAUCAACUCUGAGCACCAUAAGGAGGGCAUAAUUGUCUUAAGGACAUAGUACAAAGUACUAGCCUUGACAUAUUACUUUCUACAAGAUAAGUUCAUAUAAAUAUAUAUAUAAUUUCCUUUAUAGGUUUCUAACACAAUUAACAAAAAUGAAACUAACCAGUUAGAUGUCCUUGAAUCCACCAAUUACAAGGUCUCCAAUCUAUAAUCCUUCGAACACUCCAUAUAUCUGAUUUUCCACUGCUUGUGGUAGUGGACCUGAAAUA
This 6528-nucleotide long non-coding RNA is filed under the name Panax ginseng (ginseng). RNAcentral's name for it is "long non-coding RNA (PGIN_LNC003544)". The record is from RNAcentral. Lineage: Eukaryota; Viridiplantae; Streptophyta; Magnoliopsida; Apiales; Araliaceae.